AUCUAGAUGACGAGUUCCGAAUAGGAUGAAACGCGCGUUCUCCUGGAU
RNAcentral lists this non-coding RNA (48 nucleotides) under Trichobilharzia regenti. The record is from RNAcentral. Lineage: Eukaryota; Metazoa; Platyhelminthes; Trematoda; Strigeidida; Schistosomatidae.